UGGGGAAUUUUGCGCAAUGGGGGCAACCCUGACGCAGCAACGCCGCGUGAGUGAUGAAGGCUUUCGGGUCGUAAAGCUCUGUCGAGAGGGAAGAAAUGUUUUGUGGUUAAUACCCAUGAUACUUGACGGUACCUCUGAAGGAAGCACCGGCUAACUCCGUGCC
This 163-nucleotide ribosomal RNA is filed under the name uncultured bacterium. RNAcentral describes it as "partial 16S ribosomal RNA". It matches the Rfam family "Bacterial small subunit ribosomal RNA", at positions 355 to 509 of the family's 1533-position model. The record is from RNAcentral.